This 302-nucleotide ribosomal RNA is filed under the name uncultured bacterium. Its description in RNAcentral is "partial 16S ribosomal RNA". It matches the Rfam family "Bacterial small subunit ribosomal RNA", at positions 508 to 807 of the family's 1533-position model. The record is from RNAcentral.
GCAGCCGCCGCGGUAAUACGAGGGGGGCAAGCGUUGUUCGGAUUUAUUGGGCGUAAAGGGUGCGUAGGCGGUUUGAUAAGUCUUGUGUGAAAUCUCUGGGCUCAACCCAGAGUCUGCACGAGAAACUGUCGGGCUUGAGUAAUGGAGAGGUGAGUGGAAUUUCCGGUGUAGCGGUGAAAUGCGUAGAUAUCGGAAGGAACACCUGUGGCGAAAGCGGCUCACUGGACAUUUACUGACGCUGAUGCACGAAAGCUAGGGGAGCAAACAGGAUUAGAGACCCCCGUAGUCCCUGUCUCUUAUAC